Molecule: long non-coding RNA, 278 nt
Filed under: Salvia miltiorrhiza (redroot sage)
Lineage: Eukaryota; Viridiplantae; Streptophyta; Magnoliopsida; Lamiales; Lamiaceae
Description: long non-coding RNA (SMIL_LNC013931)
Source: RNAcentral
AUAAGACAACCCAAUUAAAAUAAAAGAAACUGGGCCCAAUCAAUUAAAUCUGCAGCCCACAUAAUUUAAAGAAUUGGCCCAAAGAAAAUAAAAUACAAGACCCAAAUGAAUUAAUAAAAGGCCCAAAUCACAGCCCAAAUACUAAAAUAAAUAAAGCCCAAAGAAUUGGCCCAACUCCAUCUUCUUCUCCCUCAAACACGGUCCAUACUAUUCUCUCACCCACACAAUUUCAGAUCUCUCUCUCUCUUCAAAGAAACGCACACACAGACGCACAUCUC